AGUUAACGUAGCAAAGCCCGGCCUUGCUAAAGAUCUAAGCCCUUUCUACAGAGGUUCAAAUCCUCUCGUUAACU
This 74-nucleotide transfer RNA is filed under the name Scinax similis (Cochran's snouted treefrog). RNAcentral's name for it is "tRNA-Leu". It matches the Rfam family "tRNA". Rfam says of the family: Transfer RNA (tRNA) molecules are approximately 80 nucleotides in length. Their secondary structure includes four short double-helical elements and three loops (D, anti-codon, and T loops). The record is from RNAcentral. Lineage: Eukaryota; Metazoa; Chordata; Amphibia; Anura; Hylidae.